CAAUUGAAUUACAUGUACAUGCGUGGAAAAAACAUCUUAAUGUUUUCUUUCUAGUCAUAGCAUCUCAGUGCUCUGCUGCUUUAAGAGUUUUUGAAGGAAGAUCAGAGGGAUGAUCGUCUGGAGGUGAUCACUGAUGAUGACAAAGAGGCUGAGGAAGCAGGGGAUGGCAGAGAUGGCUUCCAUGGCUCCCCAGGAACCAUCAGUGGAACAAGUUACUGGGAAUGUGUUGAGUCUCCUUAACUGGGGAGAGGACCCAAGGAUGUUACCAUUCAUGUUGAAGAGUGUUACCCCCGUGGAGAGCACAGACCUUAGAAGAGAUAAGAGCUCCGAAGAGCCGACAGAAAGUCCUUGUCGCAAACGUGAGAAGGAAAAUCAGAACAAGUGGAAUAUUCUAGAUUGUAAAGAAGGUAACACUUCAGUGACCUCGAGAGAGCACCUUUUGGAGCAUGGAUUAGGAUGGUAUGAGGUCAGGAUUGACUGGACAAAGAUGGAUGAGCAAUGGUAAGUACCAUUCAUCAGUUCAUGAUGAAUAUUCGUCUCUCAUGGAAAGACAGGUAGGUAAGAAUGUCUCUCUGACUUUGUAUUUAUUCCACCAGGCUCACCAUUUCUUAUCAUCUUCCUUCAGAGUAACCUGAGUUAACCCCUUGGCUGAAAUAUUGUGAAGGGACACAAUGCCUUGGGCUUGUUGCUGUAAAAACUAAUAUGCUAUUUAGUUAUUUAAAAGGCAAUGAAAAAUAUCUUGUGGAUUAACAAAUCAACAGAAAGCCAUUAUAGGAAAGUAUAGAGAAGCAAAAGAAAAGAUAUAUAUCCAUAGUCACAUGAUUAUGCCACCCCAAUAAUAUCAGAUAAUUUUCUGUGCAUAUCUUUAUAAAAAAGGUUCAUACUGUAUCAGUUCAGUUCAGUUCAGUUGCUCAGUCGUGUCCGGCUCUUUGAGACCCCAUGAAACGCAGCAUGCCAGGCCUCCCUGUCCAUCACCAACUCCCGGAGUUC
This 990-nucleotide long non-coding RNA is filed under the name Bos grunniens (domestic yak). Its description in RNAcentral is "lncRNA (ENSBGRG00000015326.1)". Lineage: Eukaryota; Metazoa; Chordata; Mammalia; Artiodactyla; Bovidae. The record is from RNAcentral.